This 253-nucleotide ribosomal RNA is filed under the name uncultured bacterium. RNAcentral describes it as "partial 16S ribosomal RNA". It matches the Rfam family "Bacterial small subunit ribosomal RNA", at positions 524 to 776 of the family's 1533-position model. The record is from RNAcentral.
UACGUAGGGUGCGAGCGUUGUCCGGAAUUACUGGGCGUAAAGGGCGCGUAGGCGGCCAUCUAAGUCAGACGUGAAAUCCCCCGGCUUAACCUGGGAACUGCGUCUGAUACUGGACGGCUUGAGUAUGGGAGAGGGAUGUAGAAUUCCAGGUGUAGCGGUGAAAUGCGUAGAUAUCUGGAGGAAUACCGGUGGCGAAGGCGGCAUCCUGGACCAUUACUGACGCUGAGGCGCGAAAGCUAGGGGAGCAAACGGG